UAUAACCAAGGGAAACUGGGUAUAAUACCCGAUAGGUCUCGAUUGCUGGAAUGCAUCGAGAUUUAAAGCUCCGGCGCCUAAGGAUGGGUCUGCGGCCUAUCAGGUAGUAGUGGGUGUAGCGUACCUACUAGCCUACGACGGGUACGGGUUGUGAGAGCAAGAGCCCGGAGAUGGAUUCUGAGACACCAAUCCAGGCCCUACGGGGUGCAGCAGGCUCGAAAACUUUACAAUGCUGGCAACAGCAAUAAGGGAACCUCGAGUGCCAGGUUACAAAUCUGGCUGUCGAGAUGCCUAAAAAGCAUUUCAUAGCAAGGGCCGGGCAAGACCGGUGCCAGCCGCCGCGGUAACACCGGCGGCUCGAGUGGUAACCGUUAUUAUUGGGUCUAAAGGGUCUGUAGCCGGCCGGAUAAGUCUCUUGAGAAAUCUGGCAGCAUAACUGUCAGGCUUUCAGGAGAUACUGUCUGGCUCGAGGCCGGGAGAGGUGAGAGGUACUUCAGGGGUAGGGGUGAGAUCUUGUCAUCCUUGAAGGACCACCAGUGGCGAAGGCGUCUCACCAGAACGGACCUGACGGCGAGGGACGAAAGCUAGGGGCACGAACCGGAUUAGAUACCCGGGUAGUCCUAGUCGUAAACGAUACUCGCUAGGUGUCGGCCACGGUGCGACCGUUGUCGGUGCCGUAGGGAAGCCGUGAAGCGAGCCACCUGGGAAGUACGGCCGCAAGGCUGAAACUUAAAGGAAUUGGCGCGGGAGCACCACUACGUGUGGAGCUUGCGGUUUAAUUGGAUUCAACGCCAGAAAUCUUACCGGGACCGACUGCUUUAUGAAUGCCAGGCUGAAGACUUUUGCCGGAUUAGCUGAGAGGUGGUGCAU
RNAcentral lists this ribosomal RNA (870 nucleotides) under uncultured archaeon. Its description in RNAcentral is "bacterial SSU rRNA". It matches the Rfam family "Archaeal small subunit ribosomal RNA", at positions 125 to 995 of the family's 1478-position model. The record is from RNAcentral.